This 230-nucleotide long non-coding RNA is filed under the name Mytilus galloprovincialis (Mediterranean mussel). The record is from RNAcentral. Lineage: Eukaryota; Metazoa; Mollusca; Bivalvia; Mytilida; Mytilidae.
GCCGAUGAUAAAGUGAAUAAGCGAACAAUUGAAAUUAAAUAUUUGCUUAAUUGUAUAUCCGUGAAUUCUAUUUUGUUACUCUGGCCGAAGGUGACACUUGCUUCUAAUAAGAACGUCGUAUUUUUACAUUUACAUGUUUUGUUAAUGCAUGUUCCUUUGCGUAUGCAUUUCUUUUGUAAAGUUCAUAAAUAUUCUAAAACAAUUGUCCUCCCACAUUAUGUUUACUUCCG